RNAcentral lists this ribosomal RNA (430 nucleotides) under uncultured bacterium. RNAcentral describes it as "partial 16S ribosomal RNA". It matches the Rfam family "Bacterial small subunit ribosomal RNA", at positions 29 to 507 of the family's 1533-position model. The record is from RNAcentral.
ACGAACGCUGGCGGCAGGCCUAACACAUGCAAGUCGAGCGCCCUUUCGGGGGAGCGGCGGACGGGUGAGUAACGCGUGGGAAUAUGCCCUUCUCUACGGAAUAGCCUCGGGAAACUGAGAGCAAUACCGUAUACGCCCUGUGGGGGAAAGAUUUAUCGGGGAAGGAUUAGCCCGCGUUGGAUUAGGUAGUUGGUGGGGUAAUGGCCUACCAAGCCGACGAUCCAUAGCUGGUUUGAGAGGAUGAUCAGCCACACUGGGACUGAGACACGGCCCAGACUCCUACGGGAGGCAGCAGUGGGGAAUCUUAGACAAUGGGGGCAACCCUGAUCUAGCCAUGCCGCGUGAGUGAUGAAGGCCUUAGGGUUGUAAAGCUCUUUCAGCUGGGAAGAUAAUGACGGUACCAGCAGAAGAAGCCCCGGCUAACUCCGUG